AGUGAACGCUGGCGGUAGGCCUAACACAUGCAAGUCGAACGGCAGCACAGUAAGAGCUUGCUCUUACGGGUGGCGAGUGGCGGACGGGUGAGGAAUACAUCGGAAUCUACUUUUUCGUGGGGGAUAACGUAGGGAAACUUACGCUAAUACCGCAUACGACCUACGGGUGAAAGCAGGGGAUCUUCGGACCUUGCGCGAUUGAAUGAGCCGAUGUCGGAUUAGCUAGUUGGCGGGGUAAAGGCCCACCAAGGCGACGAUCCGUAGCUGGUCUGAGAGGAUGAUCAGCCACACUGGAACUGAGACACGGUCCAGACUCCUACGGGAGGCAGCAGUGGGGAAUAUUGGACAAGGGGCGAAAGCCUGAUCCAGCCAUACCGCGUGGGUGAAGAAGGCCUUCGGGUUGUAAAGCCCUUUUGUUGGGAAAAAAAAGCAGCAGGUUAAUACCCCGCUGUUCUGACGGUACCAAAAAAAUAAGCACCGGCUAACUUCGU
RNAcentral lists this ribosomal RNA (491 nucleotides) under uncultured bacterium. RNAcentral's name for it is "partial 16S ribosomal RNA". It matches the Rfam family "Bacterial small subunit ribosomal RNA", at positions 29 to 506 of the family's 1533-position model. The record is from RNAcentral.